GGGAGCCGAACACCUGCGGCCAAUCAAAGAAGCAAGCGGCGAGCGUACCCCUCCCUGGCGCUGAGGGGACAGGUGUGGCGCGAAGGAGGUGGUAGGCGGCGGUCUCUUCAUGGUGGGGCCGUCCCAUCCAGCUCCCCUCGGACACUGCCGAAGCGUGCCGCUCCCUUGCCGUGCCGCUGUGGCACCUCCGUGCUGGGAGCCGCGGCAGCGCCUGGCAGGAGGCGCGCUCAGACCGGUCAGAUCUGGACAAAAAUCAUUUUUCUUCUCUUCACUCACCCUGCUUGGAGCCUACACACCAGGAUUUUAGAGCAGUACUCUAAUUUGAUGAAAGGAAUAUAAAUACUUCCAGGCACAGCUGACUGACUGAUCCAGAAGGAUACCCACGACAUGGCCACUAGUAAGAUAGAAGGGACGUAGGACUGAAUGAUGUAAACACCUCGGUUUCUUCGAAGGUGGAAGUGGAGACUCAGCCUGGGAAACUGACCUGCUGACAAAAAGUGGAGACAAAGAAAGAUUCCGACCGUGUGAGCAGCAGUUCAACUGAUAUGCAAAAGAACAUUUCCUACAGUGAUGCAGAUCUACAUUCUUAAAUAAAAUUCUUUUGGCCAGGGA
This 612-nucleotide long non-coding RNA is filed under the name Gallus gallus (chicken). RNAcentral's name for it is "long non-coding RNA NONGGAT004867". The record is from RNAcentral. Lineage: Eukaryota; Metazoa; Chordata; Aves; Galliformes; Phasianidae.